This 491-nucleotide ribosomal RNA is filed under the name uncultured bacterium. Its description in RNAcentral is "partial 16S ribosomal RNA". It matches the Rfam family "Bacterial small subunit ribosomal RNA", at positions 29 to 507 of the family's 1533-position model. The record is from RNAcentral.
GUGAACGCUGGCGGUAGGCCUAACACAUGCAAGUCGAACGGCAGCACAGUAAGAGCUUGCUCUUACGGGUGGCGAGUGGCGGACGGGUGAGGAAUACAUCGGAAUCUACUUUUUCGUGGGGGAUAACGUAGGGAAACUUACGCUAAUACCGCAUACGACCUACGGGUGAAAGCAGGGGAUCUUCGGACCUUGCGCGAUUGAAUGAGCCGAUGUCGGAUUAGCUAGUUGGCGGGGUAAAGGCCCACCAAGGCGACGAUCCGUAGCUGGUCUGAGGGGAUGAUCAGCCACACUGGAACUGAGACACGGUCCAGACUCCUACGGGAGGCAGCAGUGGGGAAUAUUGGGCAAUGGGCGCAAGCCUGAUCCAGCCAUACCGCGUGGGUGAAGAAGGCCUUCGGGUUGUAAAGCCCUUUUGUUGGGAAAGAAAAGCAGCAGGUUAAUACCCCGCUGUUCUGACGGUACCCAAAGAAUAAGCACCGGCUAACUUCGUG